UACGGCCAUAUCACGUUGAAACACCGCUUCCCGUACGAUCACCGAUGUUAAGUAACGUCUAACCUGGUUAGUCCCUCGAUGGGUGACUGCUUAGGAGUAUUAGAUGCUAUA
Molecule: non-coding RNA, 111 nt
Organism: Acanthosepion pharaonis
Lineage: Eukaryota; Metazoa; Mollusca; Cephalopoda; Sepiida; Sepiidae
Source: the annotation of a GenBank genome assembly